AGUGAACGCUGGCGGUAGGCCUAACACAUGCAAGUCGAACGGCAGCACAGUAAGAGCUUGCUCUUACGGGUGGCGAGUGGCGGACGGGUGAGGAAUACAUCGGAAUCUACUUUUUCGUGGGGGAUAACGUAGGGAAACUUACGCUAAUACCGCAUACGACCUACGGGUGAAAGCAGGGGAUCUUCGGACCUUGCGCGAUUGAAUGAGCCGAUGUCCGAUUAGCUAGUUGGCGGGGUAAAGGCCCACCAAGGCGACGAUCCGUAGCUGGUCUGAGAGGAUGAUCAGCCACACUGGAACUGAGACACGGUCCAGACUCCUACGGGAGGCAGCAGUGGGGAAUAUUGGACAAUGGGCGCAAGCCUGAUCCAGCCAUACCGCGUGGGUGAAGAAGGCCUUCGGGUUGUAAAGCCCUCUUGUUGGGAAAGAAAAGCAGCAGGUUAAUACCCCGCUGUUCUGACGGUACCCAAAGAAUAAGCACCGGCUAACUUCGUG
Molecule: ribosomal RNA, 492 nt
Filed under: uncultured bacterium
Lineage: Bacteria
Description: partial 16S ribosomal RNA
Rfam family: Bacterial small subunit ribosomal RNA
Source: RNAcentral